ACGAACGCUGGCGGCAUGCCUAACACAUGCAAGUCGCACGAGACCUUCGGGUCUAGUGGCGCACGGGUGCGUAACGCGUGGGAACCUGCCCUUAGGUUCGGAAUAACUCCCCGAAAGGGGUGCUAAUACCGGAUAAUGUCUUCGGACCAAAGAUUUAUCGCCUUUGGAUGGGCCCGCGUUGGAUUAGCUAGUUGGUAGGGUAAAAGCCUACCAAGGCGACGAUCCAUAGCUGGUCUGAGAGGAUGAUCAGCCACACUGGGACUGAGACACGGCCCAGACUCCUACGGGAGGCAGCAGUGGGGAAUAUUGGACAAUGGGCGAAAGCCUGAUCCAGCAAUGCCGCGUGAGUGAUGAAGGCCUUAGGGUUGCAAAGCUCUUUUACCCGGGAUGAUAAUGACAGUACCGGGAGAAUAAGCUCCGGCUAACUCCGUG
Molecule: ribosomal RNA, 432 nt
Filed under: uncultured bacterium
Lineage: Bacteria
Description: partial 16S ribosomal RNA
Rfam family: Bacterial small subunit ribosomal RNA
Source: RNAcentral